RNAcentral lists this ribosomal RNA (492 nucleotides) under uncultured bacterium. RNAcentral describes it as "partial 16S ribosomal RNA". It matches the Rfam family "Bacterial small subunit ribosomal RNA", at positions 29 to 507 of the family's 1533-position model. The record is from RNAcentral.
AGUGAACGCUGGCGGUAGGCCUAACACAUGCAAGUCGAACGGCAGCACAGUAAGAGCUUGCUCUUACGGGUGGCGAGUGGCGGACGGGUGAGGAAUACAUCGGAAUCUACUUUUUCGUGGGGGGUAACGUAGGGAAAUUUACGCUAAUACCGCAUACGACCUACGGGUGAAAGCAGGGGAUCUUCGGACCUUGCGCGAUUGAAUGAGCCGAUGUCGGAUUAGCUAGUUGGCGGGGUAAAGGCCCACCAAGGCGACGAUCCGUAGCUGGUCUGAGAGGAUGAUCAGCCACACUGGAACUGAGACACGGUCCAGACUCCUACGGGAGGCAGCAGUGGGGAAUAUUGGACAAAGGGCGCAAGCCUGAUCCAGCCAUACCGCGUGGGUGAAGAAGGCCUUCGGGUUGUAAAGCCCUUUUGUUGGGAAAGAAAAGCAGCAGGUUAAUACCCCGCUGUUCUGACGGUACCCAAAGAAUAAGCACCGGCUAACUUCGUG